This 423-nucleotide ribosomal RNA is filed under the name Verrucomicrobiota bacterium. Its description in RNAcentral is "Verrucomicrobia bacterium partial 16S ribosomal RNA". It matches the Rfam family "Bacterial small subunit ribosomal RNA", at positions 355 to 776 of the family's 1533-position model. Lineage: Bacteria; Pseudomonadati; Verrucomicrobiota. The record is from RNAcentral.
UGAGGAAUAUUGGUCAAUGGACGCAAGUCUGAACCAGCCAAGUAGCGUGCAGGAUGACGGCCCUAUGGGUUGUAACUGCUUUUAUAUGGGGAUAAAGUGGGGAAAGUGUUCCCUUUUGCAGGUACCAUAUGAAUAAGGACCGGCUAAUUCCGUGCCAGCAGCCGCGGUAAUACGGAAGGUUCGGGCGUUAUCCGGAUUUAUUGGGUUUAAAGGGAGCGUAGGCCGUUUGGUAAGCGUGUUGUGAAAUGUAGGAGCUCAACUUCUAGAUUGCAGCGCGAACUGUCAGACUUGAGUGCGCACAACGUAGGCGGAAUUCAUGGUGUAGCGGUGAAAUGCUUAGAUAUCAUGAAGAACUCCGAUUGCGAAGGCAGCUUACGGGAGCGCAACUGACGCUGAAGCUCGAAGGUGCGGGUAUCGAACAGG